GAAGGUAUAGCUCAGUGGUAGAGCACAUGCUUAGCAUGCACAAGUUCCUGGGUUCAAUCCCUAGCACCUCCA
RNAcentral lists this transfer RNA (72 nucleotides) under Camelus bactrianus (Bactrian camel). It matches the Rfam family "tRNA". Rfam says of the family: Transfer RNA (tRNA) molecules are approximately 80 nucleotides in length. Their secondary structure includes four short double-helical elements and three loops (D, anti-codon, and T loops). Further hydrogen bonds mediate the characteristic L-shaped molecular structure. tRNAs have two regions of fundamental functional importance: the anti-codon, which is responsible for specific mRNA codon recognition, and the 3' end, to which the tRNAs corresponding amino acid is attached (by aminoacyl-tRNA synthetases). tRNAs cope with the degeneracy of the genetic code in two manners: having more than one tRNA (with a specific anti-codon) for a particular amino acid; and 'wobble' base-pairing, i.e. permitting non-standard base-pairing at the 3rd anti-codon position. Lineage: Eukaryota; Metazoa; Chordata; Mammalia; Artiodactyla; Camelidae. RNAcentral also lists the same sequence under 2 other names. The record is from Rfam by way of RNAcentral.